Molecule: long non-coding RNA, 333 nt
Filed under: Elaeis guineensis (African oil palm)
Lineage: Eukaryota; Viridiplantae; Streptophyta; Magnoliopsida; Arecales; Arecaceae
Description: long non-coding RNA (EGUI_LNC000025)
Source: RNAcentral
UGGCACUUUUAACGAUGUUCUGAAGAUCUGAUUAGUUAUCUCUCUGGAGGUUUUCUCAAGGGUGUCCCUCUGUUUCUCAUGCGACUCGAACUCUGCAGGGGUCUGGUAAGUUAGCCCCGCCUCGAAGUCAUCAAGGUCUUCUUGAGGGUCUGGUAAGUUAGCCCUCACAUUACUUAACCGUAGUUAUAGUUCAGGAUCUUAAGUAGGAGGGAGCAAUUCUUGGAGGACUCAGGUGCCCAUCAUAAGUUGAUGGCCCUGCAAAUUUUAUUUUUAUGAAAAAUAUUGUUACAUCAUUGGUAAUAUAUAUUGAGGUUCACCGAGUUCCAUGGCCUG